UACGGGGGAUGCAAGCGUUAUCCGGAUUUAUUGGGUUUAAAGGGUGCGUAGGCUGUGAGGUAAGUCAGCGGUGAAAUGCCCCCGCUCAACGGGGUGAAGUGCCAUUGAUACUGCCUUGCUGGAAUGCGGAUGCCGUGGGAGGAAUGUGUGGUGUAGCGGUGAAAUGCAUAGAUAUCACACAGAACACCGAUUGCGAAGGCAUCUCACGAAUCCGCGAUUGGCGCUGAUGCACGAAAGCGUGGGUAUCAAACAGG
Molecule: ribosomal RNA, 254 nt
Filed under: uncultured bacterium
Lineage: Bacteria
Description: partial 16S ribosomal RNA
Rfam family: Bacterial small subunit ribosomal RNA
Source: RNAcentral